Orcinus orca (killer whale) is the source of this 2282-nucleotide long non-coding RNA. RefSeq lists it as uncharacterized. Lineage: Eukaryota; Metazoa; Chordata; Mammalia; Artiodactyla; Delphinidae. The record is from RefSeq and is a predicted model, not a curated record. The transcript is spliced from 4 exons.
GCUGAUAGGAAAUGGGAUUGGAACCUCCGGGAAUUUUGAGCUUCCUGAUUUCCCUUGGCUGAGUCUAGAAUGCUUUGCACAGAUUUUAGUUUCACACAUAAUCUUUAUUUCCUCGUUUAAAAAUAAGGAGUGAUAUUUAUAGUAACAGUAAAAACCAAGUGACAUUUUCAUCUAGGCCAGCAAGUUGUAGUGUUUAGACAACUCUGGUUGAAAUGUUGUUUCUGCCACUUAUGUAUAUGGGCUUGGGCAUGUUCCCUCCUCUGUAAGGUGGGGAUAACAAUGUCGUCUCAAUGAUGCCAUACUCUCAGAGGUAAGGACUUAGCGUAAAAGGUUUUAAUCUGGAGUCUGUGAUUGUGCUUCAGGCAUCUUUUGCUCCUGUAAUUCUAUGUAAAAUUUUGUGUAUGUUUGAAUUUUUCUAAGGGAGAGAUUUCAGAGCUUCCACAAGAAUCCCAGAGGAGUCCUUGACCACUAAAUACUGAGAACCACUAGCCUUACACAGUACCUGGCAGAUGGCAAGUAUCCAUUCAAUGUUAAUUCUUUCUCUCUCUGCCAAGGAUACAUUUUAUAAUCAGCAGCUUAUUGAUGCUGACAUAGUUAUUUUUGAUAACAAAGGAAUUACUUAAAUUCGGAAUAGAAAUAAGAACUCUGCUGCUGUCUUUGCUCCGUUACCUGCCCAUGUGCUCCUCUUGAGCUGUGUUAGCUCCCUAGGUGCUGCUCAAACUGUCCCUUUUCUCCUCAUCCCCUGAGGACCAACUUGUAUUAUUUACUAUAGAAGAAGGAGCCAGUUCUGUUCUUUUAGAGUGAAAUGUGGAGUGACUCUUAGAGAUAGUACACGGGAAACAAGAGUAAUGCAAAAGAAAAAGGGUUGGAGGGGCAGGAGUUAUUCUGGAAAACAGGAAGAGGAUCAAAAUGCCUGGUACAGUGCUGAGCACAUAAUCAUUAAUAAUGAAUCACAGAAAGGAAUGAAGAAGCAGAUGUGCAUUAAACAGUGGGAAGUGGGACACUUCCCUGGCAGUCCAGUGGUUAAGACUCUGCCAUUCCAACGCAGGGGGCGUGGGUUUGAUCCCUCGUUGAGCAACUAAGAUCGCACGUGCCGCGCGGUGUGGCAAAAAAACAAAAACAAACAAAAAAAAAACAGUGGGAAGGGGUGAUGGGAAAAGAGAGAACUGGGAAGAAAGAAUCUUCCUUAGUUUCCCCCCUUCCAGGGCUUUUGUGCCCUGUGGCGGGCUGCCCACUUUUGCUGCCACUUACAUUCCUGAAUUAGAAGCACACUGCAUGGGGCGGGUAGGAAUGGUGAAGAAGCCUGAGCUCCAGGCUAGAGGGUCAUGAUGGGACCAUCAAGCUUGUUAAGAUGCUUCUUUUAAGUCCCAGCCUCUUAAUUUCCCCAUAAAAAGCAAAAACAGAAAGCAAAAAUUAGGGUUGAACAAUGGCCAAGUUGUUCAUUAAUAUCUUAUCCUUUAUCUGCAGCAUCCAAUGCCCAGAUCCCCAGAGACUUCGACCUUGGAACCAGCAUGGAGAACCUAUUCCUCAACUCCAUCAACUUCUGUGGCCACAUCUUCUCUUUUCUUUUAGUCCUGAGACUGCCCUGGAGAGGAGAGGGGAGGACAGAGGAAAAGCGGUGACAGGUUUAUCCUUUGGCUUCUCUGGGAUUGGCUCCUGCCAUUCAUGGCUGGCUUUGGGAAUCCUCAGUGUGAUCCAGCUCACAGGAUGGGCAAACUGAGGCAUAGAGAGAUUGGGUCAUCCAAGCCACAGAACCAGGAGGUGGCACCAGCGUUCAGACUUACACAGUGGCUUUUGGCUACAUGUAACAGAAAACUCAUCCAGGAUCAGCUUAAACAAUGAGGGCUUAUAGUUCGCCCACUAUGGAAAACAGUAUGGAGUUUCCUCAAAAAAAAAAUAAAAUAGAACUACUGCAUGAUUCUGCAAUUCCAUAUUUGGAUAUUUAUCUGAAGAAAACAAAAACACUAACUCGAAAAGAUAAAUGCACCCCCAUGUUCCUUGCAGCAUUAUUUAAAAUAGCCAAGAUAUGGAAACAACCUGUGUCCAUCAAAGGAUGAAUGGACAAAGAAGAUGUGGUAUGUAUAUACAAUGGAAUGUUAUUCAGCUAUAAAAUAGAAUGAAAACUUGCCAUUUGUGACCACAUGCAUGGACUUUGAGGGCAUUAUGCUAAGUGAAAUAAGACAGAGAAACACAAAUACCGCAUGAUCUCUUAUAUGUGGAAUCUAAAAACACCCCAAGACCUCAAUCUCAUAGAUACAGAGAACAGAUUGGUGGUUGCCAGA